CUGAAAAAAGAGUAAUUAUAUAAUAUAUAUAUACAUAUUCUAAUUUCAUAUUCUUAUGCUCAAUAUACUAUACUUUGAUGAAGUAUACAUAUCUGAGCAAUAUAUAUAUAAAAGUUGGAAUCAAAAUUAGCUAAGAUUAUGUUUGUUCUUUUAGCAUUGAUAUAUAUUCUCCAGGCAUUGAUGAGAUGGUUGUAAAAUGUAAGCAAAGUUUGUACGUGUUGUUCAUUUCAAGGACUUUUACGAGUCUUUUAUUUUCUUUCACACAUGGCUGCAUCAAUGCCAGUUCUUGUGGAGAUGGGAAUCAAAGACUGCUUGGGGCUAACAAGACACUGAUUCUAAGAUGAAAUGACUGUGUGAUACAUUCUAUAUCGAGUCUGAACUUCAGAAUCGUCAAAGUUCCGGAGAAACAACAGAUGAUGCAUUUAGGGUUGUAUUUGGAAAGGAGUAGCCUGGUCAGGUUAGAUGCUAUGGUAGAUCGGUGACGACAAGCUCUCUGAAAAAAGAUGAAGAAAUCACCAAGCUUAAACAAAAGCAUGCCAAUGAAAUAACUUCUCUGAAGGAAAUUAUGAGAGAAGAAAUGCAAUAUUUUUUUUAGUCAAUUGGUGAAAAACAAUCCUGGAUUGGAUUUUAAUGAUAUACAAGGGUGUGUUGGAUCUAAUAUUCCUUCACCGGUUGAUGCAAGUAGUGCACGAGCUAUGAGAGGUCAAAAUCUGCCACAUUCUUCUGGCUCAACUCACGCCCAGUCUUGAAAAGCUAUUUAUAUUUCCCAAUUCCAAAAACUACCUCAAUCUUAACUUACAAAAUCAUGCUUUCUAACCAGUGUAUAGUAUAUAUAUGUUUCUUCCUAAUUUUUAAUUUCAUUUUGAAUGUGUAAGAAAAUACGGGUGAUGCAAUUCGAUAUGGUGGUCACAAAUCAAUUUGAUUCAUUAAAGUGAAUGGUGAAGACCUUUUGAACAAUUGGGAUGUUUAUUUUGAUUGAUUCUAUAAAUAUGAAUACAUUUGGUUUUGUAGAGGUCUUUGCUAGUGAACUCUUGAACCAACAGUGCUUUAUUACUAUAGACAGUACACAAAGUAUGUUUCUUUGUUGAAAUUUAUUUUAAGUAUAUGCAUUUGAAUUAUUUUUAUUC
Nicotiana attenuata is the source of this 1127-nucleotide long non-coding RNA. RefSeq lists it as uncharacterized. NCBI's taxonomy places the organism in Eukaryota, Viridiplantae, Streptophyta, Magnoliopsida, Solanales, Solanaceae. The transcript is spliced from 2 exons. The record is from RefSeq and is a predicted model, not a curated record.